This 61-nucleotide microRNA precursor is filed under the name Pristionchus pacificus. RNAcentral describes it as "mir-8364 microRNA precursor family". It matches the Rfam family "mir-8364 microRNA precursor family". The record is from Rfam by way of RNAcentral. Lineage: Eukaryota; Metazoa; Nematoda; Chromadorea; Rhabditida; Neodiplogasteridae.
UCUUCAUUUCAUACACUCUCUCACCGGUCAGACAGGCGAGAGAGAGUUCGAAAUGAGGAGG